UUCCAGACUCCUACGGGAGGCAGCAGUGGGGAAUAUUGGACAAUGGGGGGAACCCUGAUCCAGCGACGCCGCGUGAGUGAAGAAGUAUUUCGGUAUGUAAAGCUCUAUCAGCAGGGAAGAAAGAAAUGACGGUACCUGACUAAGAAGCCCCGGCUAACUACGUGCCAGCAGCCGCGGUAAUACGUAGGGGGCAAGCGUUAUCCGGAUUUACUGGGCGUAAAGGGAGCGCAGGCGGCACGGCAAGUCUGGUGUGAAAGCCCGGGGCCCAACCCCGGGACUGCAUUGGAAACUGCCGGGCUGGAGUGCCGGAGGGGCAGGCGGAAUUCCUGGUGUAGCGGUGAAAUGCGCAGAUAUCAGGAAGAACACCGGUGGCGCAGGCGGCCUGCUGGACGGCAACUGACGCUGAGGCUCGAAAGCGUGGGGAGCAAACAGGAUUAGAUACCCGGGUAU
Molecule: ribosomal RNA, 450 nt
Filed under: uncultured bacterium
Lineage: Bacteria
Description: bacterial SSU rRNA
Rfam family: Bacterial small subunit ribosomal RNA
Source: RNAcentral